This is a long non-coding RNA of Lolium rigidum, 365 nucleotides long. RefSeq lists it as uncharacterized. The transcript is spliced from 2 exons. Lineage: Eukaryota; Viridiplantae; Streptophyta; Magnoliopsida; Poales; Poaceae. The record is from RefSeq and is a predicted model, not a curated record.
AGUACGUGUGAUCGGCAAUGCCUGGACAUACUAUCUGGAUGCAUGGUUAACUUUGCACAUGAAGAUGAUGCUACUAGUAUACGAGAUAUCCAGAUUUUUCACUUUGGUCCUGCUUUGUUUGAGAAGAAAACCAGGGGAAACUUCUAUGAUCAUGGUUCCUCUAGACAUCAGUGAGAGAAAUGUAAAUGUUGUGCGCUGUUGCCCCAGGGGGAAAUAGCGGUUAUCUUCUCAUUAAGUCUGCCACCUUGAACUUUAGUGUUGUCUAUGGGUAACAGAUUCCAGUAGUCUGCCAUUUUGAACUUCUGUAGUGAGCUAUGACUACCAGGUUCAAACAUUUUAUGCAAGACACAAAAUGUUACAGAUUU